CACCAAUUUCCUUCUCCAUAUACA
This 24-nucleotide non-coding RNA is filed under the name Arabidopsis thaliana (thale cress). Lineage: Eukaryota; Viridiplantae; Streptophyta; Magnoliopsida; Brassicales; Brassicaceae. The record is from RNAcentral.